Molecule: ribosomal RNA, 906 nt
Filed under: Triticum aestivum (bread wheat)
Lineage: Eukaryota; Viridiplantae; Streptophyta; Magnoliopsida; Poales; Poaceae
Description: partial small subunit ribosomal RNA
Source: RNAcentral
AUGGAUGUGUGCCCGUCGUCCUCCCCACGCUCACCCGGGGUGGUGUGCUACUAUCGCUCACCUGGGACCCCACCCUCACUAGCUGUGGGGUCCCCGGCACUGGUUCCUGCUACGCCACCACCGUCUCGCUUGGGGUUGGGCACAUGUGAGGGGUUGGGCACGGUCUACGCCGACUCUCCUGUGCCUAGCUCUGACACCCGGUUGGUGGCUUCUUCGGCUGUGGCGUCUAGGCAAAGCGCCCGUCUCUGUCGGUCCCGGACCCUUCCGGAUGGCCGCGUCUCGACGGUUCCCGAGAUGGCGGCCAUGCGUGCGGUAGCACGCGACCUCACUCUAGGUACGACACCACCCCCUCCCUCUGGUUCCUUGGAUCCUUCAUAUUCCGGUUCUCGAUUUGUGGUUCUUGAUUCGGUGCCGCUGGCACACCUUGGUGACGUUGCACCAGACUGUGAUAUUGUGUUUCGAGGUGAGAAGGGUCCCUGUCUUGAGCAUAUUUCGGCCAUUUGUGCCAAAGAGCGGCUCGAUGGUGCGCUGGCUGAGGCUCGUGCCCGUGCCGAACAGCGGGCUAUGGAUGCCUCGGCCCCAUCUGGCUCUGGGCAUAGAAAGCCCGGGGUUGGAUCAGGCCUGAGCCGGCCGCCGUCCCGGCUUGACACCCCCAGUGGCCCUCAAGUAGGGAGGGCCCUGCGAGGAAGGCCACCUAUGCGACUCCAUCCCUCUGAACAGAUGAUGGUAGUUCGAGGUGUUAGCGCUGACAUGGCAGGUGAUGCCCACAUUAAGCGGGGGCGUCGCGGCCGUCCAUCGAAACAAAUGCCCAAUCCCGCACUUGGUGGGAGGGCUAUCUCGGCCCACCCGAGGGGCCUAGUGACAUCGGCGAGGUUCCUAUAUGAAGCUCCUAUGCUAGAACAUUAG